UACAGAGGGUGCGAGCGUUGUUCGGAAUUAUUGGGCGUAAAGGGCGCGUAGGCGGUGCGGUAAGUCACCUGUGAAAUCUCCUGGCUCAACUGGGAGCUUGCAGGCGAAACUGCCGUGCUGGAGUGUGGGAGAGGUGCGUGGAAUUCCCGGUGUAGCGGUGAAAUGCGUAGAUAUCAGGAGGAACACCGGUGGCGAAGGCGGAUCUCUGGGCCAUUACUGACGCUGAGGAGCGAAAGCGUGGGGAGCGAACAGG
This 253-nucleotide ribosomal RNA is filed under the name uncultured bacterium. RNAcentral's name for it is "partial 16S ribosomal RNA". It matches the Rfam family "Bacterial small subunit ribosomal RNA", at positions 524 to 776 of the family's 1533-position model. The record is from RNAcentral.